CGGACGGGUGAGUAACACGUGGAUAACCUACCUAUAAGACUGGGAUAACUUCGGGAAACCGGAGCUAAUACCGGAUAAUAUAUUGAACCGCAUGGUUCGAUAGUGAAAGACGGUUUUGCUGUCACUUAUAGAUGGAUCCGCGCCGCAUUAGCUAGUUGGUAAGGUAACGGCUUACCAAGGCAACGAUGCGUAGCCGACCUGAGAGGGUGAUCGGCCACACUGGAACUGAGACACGGUCCAG
RNAcentral lists this ribosomal RNA (241 nucleotides) under uncultured Staphylococcus sp. RNAcentral's name for it is "partial 16S ribosomal RNA". It matches the Rfam family "Bacterial small subunit ribosomal RNA", at positions 99 to 334 of the family's 1533-position model. Lineage: Bacteria; Bacillati; Bacillota; Bacilli; Caryophanales; Staphylococcaceae. The record is from RNAcentral.